CCUAGUCUUUAAUGUCUGGCUCCCCAAAUGAGGGAAAUGAAAAAAAUGAAGGGACAGGGAAAGGGGUGGUGGCCCUUUAAGUCCCCUGGAAGUCACAUCAGCCAGAGGGGAAGAAUGGGCGAAUACGUUGGCCUUCCCAGAGACCGCUCAUCUGGACAGAAUGAGAUGGUGUUAGCAACACAGACUACCUGCCUCUCAACCAUGUCCUGACUGUGUCUAGUGGCUACUUGAGUACACGGUUACCAUGGAACGCACAACCCCGCACCAUUGACAACUCUGUUGGGUGGUGAUGGGCUUAUGCGCCUGGAGUUCACAACCUGCUUCCCGGUUUCACCCCAUGGAUACCGACAACACCUGCAAUAUUUUCUCCAGUUGAUGAUAUGAUUCAUGGGACUGAUUCAACACAAUGCCUGCCAGUGGCCCAAAUCCUGCUGAGGAAAGGCAGUUUCUUGCACACCUCCUUAGGUAUCAUCCUAGCUUUGUUUCUUUUCCCAGAUAACAGCCAGCACUGCUGCCCUGAACUAGCGACACGAGACUCCUCCCCAGCGAGCCAGCUACAACUAUUUAAAAUGCACUUUUAGGUGACAUCUUUCUUAUCAAGAAGGGCUCUUAAUAGAAUGCAGUUGUUGCCUAACAAGAGAAUGUUGGCCUUGAAUGCACAGGACAAAAUCAGGGUUUGUGCAUCACUGUAAAUGAAGGUCAAGAUGCCCUAAUAUGGAAGUACAGUGAUAUUCUUUUCUUUAGCAUCUUAUUGUUACUAGACUAAUGAUACCCAGGGAGAGGGGAAAAUGAGCAAGAGACCCUAUUUUCCUUCCUUGGU
Molecule: long non-coding RNA, 820 nt
Organism: Lutra lutra (Eurasian river otter)
Lineage: Eukaryota; Metazoa; Chordata; Mammalia; Carnivora; Mustelidae
Exons: 3
Source: RefSeq, a predicted model, not a curated record